CUCUAGGCUGUCAAGGUCCGUGGACUCACGCACCUUAGUGGCCAAUUUCCACUCAUUGGCUCACCUGGUGUCACAAGUCAAGGGGCAUGGCACCCACCUGCUGCAGAAAGACCCACCAGUAAGGUACCGGGUUUUCCAUGAACGCAAUUGCCAUGGAAAUUGAGGGCAGAUGGCAGUGGAUUCUAUGGGAAGCUUCACAGAGGAUGAUUUGCCAUUUUGGAAAAUGGCGUCGGCAACAGCACCACCGUUUGGAGUAUCUGAGUUGCUGUCAUGAGACACAUGAGUCGCUGGAGAGUUACAGCUGCUGCAUUCCUGAUCAACCUUUUCAUGUACCAGGAAACAUACAUAUGACCAAAUGACCAAAACAAAACCAAAACCCAGUAAAGCCCCAAAUUCCCCAAACCAAAAGACCCCUGGAGUUAUAGAAAUUCAUCCCUAAGCCCUUAUG
Molecule: long non-coding RNA, 448 nt
Organism: Lynx canadensis (Canada lynx)
Lineage: Eukaryota; Metazoa; Chordata; Mammalia; Carnivora; Felidae
Exons: 3
Source: RefSeq, a predicted model, not a curated record